AGGACGAACGCUGGCGGCGCGCCUAAUACAUGCAAGUCGAGCGAGAACCAGGGCUUCGGCCCUGGGGAGAGCGGCGAACGGGUGCGUAUCACGUGAGCAACCUGCCUCGGAGACCGGAAUAACUCGAGGAAACUCGGGCUAAUGCCGGAUGCCCUCGGUGGACCGCAUGGUCCGGCGAGGAAAUGGAUUCCGCUCCGAGAUGGGCUCGCGGCCUAUCAGCUUGUUGGUGGGGUAACGCCUACCAAGGCAACGACGGGUAGCUGGUCUGAGAGGACGAUCAGCCACACUGGGACUGGACACGCCG
RNAcentral lists this ribosomal RNA (304 nucleotides) under uncultured soil bacterium. Its description in RNAcentral is "bacterial SSU rRNA". It matches the Rfam family "Bacterial small subunit ribosomal RNA", at positions 26 to 329 of the family's 1533-position model. The record is from RNAcentral.